This 56-nucleotide small RNA is filed under the name Caenorhabditis elegans. RNAcentral's name for it is "Unclassified non-coding RNA Y106G6A.8". The record is from RNAcentral. Lineage: Eukaryota; Metazoa; Nematoda; Chromadorea; Rhabditida; Rhabditidae.
UCUUCCACAACGCAAUCAUCUCUUCUCCGGUCGACUGCGGCCAGUGGAGGUUGAGC